This 214-nucleotide long non-coding RNA is filed under the name Elaeis guineensis (African oil palm). RNAcentral describes it as "long non-coding RNA (EGUI_LNC050485)". The record is from RNAcentral. Lineage: Eukaryota; Viridiplantae; Streptophyta; Magnoliopsida; Arecales; Arecaceae.
UCCGAAUAUCGGGUAUCAUUGUUAGAUGGUCACUUCGAUUAGUACAGGAAUUGGUUCCUGUGCUAUUGGCUUAGGUUCGAACCUAUGGGGUCACACACAUUAGAGGUUCCUAUCUGAUCUGAUGGCUGGUGAAGAGUUUCACUGGACUGGGACUCUUUGACUAAGAGUCCUUAUGCUUGGAGACUCUAUGAUUGAGAAUCAGGAUUCUCUGAUC